Molecule: long non-coding RNA, 326 nt
Organism: Lycium barbarum (goji berry)
Lineage: Eukaryota; Viridiplantae; Streptophyta; Magnoliopsida; Solanales; Solanaceae
Exons: 3
Source: RefSeq, a predicted model, not a curated record
UGAUGAUAUUCAGGUGACGGAGCAGUUAUCGUACGAAGAGCAGCCCGUAUCUAUCUUGGAUCGUCAGGUAAGGAGGCUCCGGAAUAAAGAUGUGGCCUCCGUUAAGGUACUGUGGCGGAAUAAUAACCGGGAGGAAAUGACCUGGGAGUCUGAGGAAGAAAUGAAGAAGAAAUAUCCUCAAUUGUUCCCUAUGCCCACAGUUGGAUUGGAGUGGGGAGCAUUAGAAUCACCAAAGUGAUCAUAUUUCCAAGUGAAGAAGACUUGAAGAAAAGUUUUUCGACGAAACGGGAAGUGAGUUUGGAAAGGCUUAAGGAGCGUGAAAGGUA